This 292-nucleotide ribosomal RNA is filed under the name uncultured Alphaproteobacteria bacterium. Its description in RNAcentral is "partial 16S ribosomal RNA". The record is from RNAcentral. Lineage: Bacteria; Pseudomonadati; Pseudomonadota; Alphaproteobacteria.
GGACUACUGGGGUUUCUAAUCCUGUUUGCUCCCCACGCUUUCGCGCCUCAGCGUCAGUAAUGGUCCAGUUGGCCGCCUUCGCCACCGGUGUUCUUGCGAAUAUCUACGAAUUUCACCUCUACACUCGCAGUUCCACCAACCUCUACCAUACUCAAGCUAUCCAGUAUCGAAGGCAAUUCUGUGGUUGAGCCACAGGCUUUCACCCCCGACUUAAAUAGCCGCCUACGCGCCCUUUACGCCCAGUGAUUCCGAGCAACGCUAGCCCCCUUCGUAUUACCGCGGCUGCUGGCAC